Long non-coding RNA from Magallana angulata, 916 nucleotides. RefSeq lists it as uncharacterized. Lineage: Eukaryota; Metazoa; Mollusca; Bivalvia; Ostreida; Ostreidae. The transcript is spliced from 4 exons. The record is from RefSeq and is a predicted model, not a curated record.
UUUCUCCUUAAUAUUACCAUAAAAUACAAGCAUGUCAAAUUUUUCCACAUCUCUUGGGUAUAUUUUAAUGGAAUUAACAGAACCAUUCAAAGCACGUACAAUUUCAUGAUUGUCUUCAGCUUGAUCCUCAUUCCUUAAUUGUUUUUGAGAGUCUGUUUCAGUCAAUUCAGAACCUCCACCUAUUUGAUGUGAUGUUGAAGGCGAUACGUUGAAAUUCCUUCUAUCAGGACGGGAUGGCAUAUUAUUGUGAAACCGUCGCUGAUCGUUUGCGAGCCUUAGUAAUCUUUGAAAUGGAUUUAUAUACAGCGAAAUCUGGACUGACGUCAGAGUUGAGCCCAAACAUCUGCUUCGUUGUCAGAAGUGACUUCCUUAGGUGCUAAUCCUCCAAGACUCCUGUGUGGUGUUGAAUAAUAAUUUUCAACAAUAUCUGGAAGGACAUCUAUAUAUCGGUUCUGCACAUCCAUAAGAUCCAUGCUCCAUUGUACAUUCCGUCCACUAACUCUAAUGUUUGGAACUCUAGUCGGUCGUCGAACUUGUCGCUGUAAUGUAUAGGCGUCUUGUUUUUGUAACCAUUUUUUAAUAAAAUAUUUACUAAAUUUAAACUCUUUGUUUGAUUUCAAAGCGUCAUAAAGUUUGGAUGGUGUGGUGUAAGCUGCUGGAUUAGAAAUAUCAUAAUAGUACUGUUCUAAAAACUUCUCUUUCUCAGUCAUUUUUAAAAACUGUAGUCUUUAGCGUCGUUUUCCAAAUUUGUGAACAAAAACUGCUUCCAUAUGUCCGUACUAGCGUAGACAUUCAUGUUAUUCCAAAAAAUUAUGAGUUCUUGUUGAUCACAUUUAUAUUUUGCCAGCAAAUCACUAUAACUUUUCUCUGGGUCCAGCUUGGUGAAAGCCAAUUCAAAGUAUAAAAUUAGUUUGAU